Molecule: long non-coding RNA, 122 nt
Organism: Gopherus evgoodei (Goodes thornscrub tortoise)
Lineage: Eukaryota; Metazoa; Chordata; Testudines; Testudinidae
Exons: 4
Source: RefSeq, a predicted model, not a curated record
CCAGGAGCUCAUCUGAUCCCUUUGUCUCCAACACCUUCAGUUGUCAACUUUGCAGAGGAGGGGCCCAGGCGAUCAGUUGCUAGGGGACAACGUGUCAGGCAUUUCGGAACACUGGCACUUUG